This 497-nucleotide ribosomal RNA is filed under the name uncultured bacterium. Its description in RNAcentral is "partial 16S ribosomal RNA". It matches the Rfam family "Bacterial small subunit ribosomal RNA", at positions 28 to 507 of the family's 1533-position model. The record is from RNAcentral.
GAUGAACGCUGGCGGCGUGCCUAAUACAUGCAAGUCGAGCGAACAGACGAGGAGCUUGCUCCUCUGACGUUAGCGGCGGACGGGUGAGUAACACGUGUUUAACCUACCUAUAAGACUGGGAUAACUUCGGGAAACCGUGGCUAAUACCGGAUAAUUUAUUGAACCGCAUUGUUCAAUAGUAAAAUUCGGUUUUUCUGUCACUUAUAGAUGGCUCCGCGCCGCAUUAGCUAGUAGUUAAGGUAACGGCUUACCAAGGCUACGAUGCGUAGCCGACCCGAGAGCGUGAUCGGCCACACUGGAACUGAGACACGGUACACACACCUACGGGAGGCAGCAGCAGGGAAUCUUACGCGAUGGACGAAAGCCUGACGGAGCAACGCCGCGUGAAUGAUGAAGGUCUUCGGAUCGGAAAACGCUGUUAUUAGGGAAGAACAAAUGUGCUAGUACCUAUGCACGUAUUGACGGUACCUAAUCAGAAAGCCCCGGCUAACUCCGUG